Molecule: long non-coding RNA, 143 nt
Organism: Amblyraja radiata (thorny skate)
Lineage: Eukaryota; Metazoa; Chordata; Chondrichthyes; Rajiformes; Rajidae
Exons: 3
Source: RefSeq, a predicted model, not a curated record
GUUCCUUCUUCAACACAAUGUCCUUUAAAACUGCACAUGUACAUUACUCUCUCCUUCUCAACAUUUUUAUCUCCUUAUUUUCUCUCACCUGUGUACCUUACUCCACUCACCUGCCGAUCACCCCCUCACCUUUUAACAUCGUG